GGUUCAAUGGUCUAGUGGUUAUGAUUUCUGUCUCACACGGUGGACACAGAAGGUCUCCAGUUCGAUCCUGGAUUGAACCA
Non-coding RNA from Collybia nuda, 80 nucleotides. Lineage: Eukaryota; Fungi; Basidiomycota; Agaricomycetes; Agaricales; Clitocybaceae. The record is from the annotation of a GenBank genome assembly.